GCAAUUUUAGUAAUCUUCUAUGGUUCAUCUCUCUCUCUCUCUCUCUCUCUCUCUCGCUGUGUGUGUGUGUGUGUGUGUGUGUGUGUGUGAGAGAGAGAGAGAGAGAGAGAGAGAGAGAGUAUUCUGAGUUCUGAGAUUAAUGGUGCUU
This is a non-coding RNA of Podarcis lilfordi (Lilford's wall lizard), 148 nucleotides long. Lineage: Eukaryota; Metazoa; Chordata; Lepidosauria; Squamata; Lacertidae. The record is from the annotation of a GenBank genome assembly.